CUAACUACUAACUAAUUAACAAACAAGGUGGGGAAAAUAAAUGAAAAAUGAAACUAAAAAGGAAAAGAAAAGCUAGACUAAAAUCUGUUUAAAGAAAGAAUAAAAAUAUAAAAUGCAAGCUAAUGUAUCUAAUCUAUAUUCACAGGAAAACAAAAAUCAAAGAAUCUGAACUAAAAAAAAUAUUCUAACAUGAAUUCAAUAGAACUAAAAAUAAAGAAACAAACUAAAGAUAUGAAUCUAAAGCAAAGAACAGAGACAAAUGUGCAAUAGAUUGAAUGAAAGAGUCUCAAUUCCUCUUCAGAAAGACAUUCCGAGAAAGGUAAGCCCAUCACAGGGUCUUUUUUGUUCAUAUUUCAGAACUUACAGUG
Molecule: long non-coding RNA, 368 nt
Filed under: Vigna radiata
Lineage: Eukaryota; Viridiplantae; Streptophyta; Magnoliopsida; Fabales; Fabaceae
Description: long non-coding RNA (VRAD_LNC005650)
Source: RNAcentral